UCCAGAUUAACGGGGAUGCAUUGGGGAAAUCAAUUUCAACGUGAUUAAGGUGAAGGGGAAAAAAAAAGGGCGAGCCUCUUUUUCCUCUUGAUCAGCUGAUAGCAAUUAGUAGGAACGCCUGCCCCUAGGGCAGACAGGAAACCAGGAAUCUCUCAGUCGCCACGGGGAGAGGGAACUGAAUUUCCAAAUCUAAGGUUCAAAGCCUGGGGACCAAGGCCUGCCGUUGAGAAGGAGCCCUAGUCUGACUUGGACAUGUCAAAUUCUUGCCUGUUUCCGAUUUCCUUUCCCGGGCUGGGCUCACCUGGAGUCGACCUGGAGUGGUUCGAGUCAAGGAUCGGUAUAGAGUUUCAG
Molecule: long non-coding RNA, 351 nt
Filed under: Ornithorhynchus anatinus (platypus)
Lineage: Eukaryota; Metazoa; Chordata; Mammalia; Monotremata; Ornithorhynchidae
Description: lncRNA (ENSOANG00000048429.1)
Source: RNAcentral